Molecule: ribosomal RNA, 253 nt
Filed under: uncultured bacterium
Lineage: Bacteria
Description: partial 16S ribosomal RNA
Rfam family: Bacterial small subunit ribosomal RNA
Source: RNAcentral
UACGUAGGCAGCAAGCGUUGUUCGGAUUCAUUGGGCGUAAAGGGUGCGUAGGCGGCGCGGUAAGUCGGGUGUGAAAUCUCGGAGCUUAACUCCGAAACUGCAUUCGAUACUGCCGUGCUUGAGGACUGGAGAGGAGACUGGAAUUUACGGUGUAGCGGUGAAAUGCGUAGAUAUCGUAAGGAAGACCAGUGGCGAAGGCGGGUCUCUGGACAGUUCCUGACGCUGAGGCACGAAGGUCAGGGGAGCAAACGGG